Molecule: ribosomal RNA, 450 nt
Filed under: uncultured bacterium
Lineage: Bacteria
Description: bacterial SSU rRNA
Rfam family: Bacterial small subunit ribosomal RNA
Source: RNAcentral
AGCGAACGCUGGCGGCAGGCUUAACACAUGCAAGUCGAGCGGGCGUAGCAAUACGUCAGCGGCAGACGGGUGAGUAACGCGUGGGAACAUACCUUUUGGUUCGGAACAACACAGGGAAACUUGUGCUAAUACCGGAUAAGCCCUUACGGGGAAGAUUUAUCGCCGAGAGAUUGGCCCGCGUCUGAUUAGCUAGUUGGUGAGGUAACGGCUCACCAAGGCGACGAUCAGUAGCNGGUCUGAGAGGAUGAUCAGCCACAUUGGGACUGAGACACGGCCCAAACUCCUACGGGAGGCAGCAGUGGGGAAUAUUGGACAAUGGGCGAAAGCCUGAUCCAGCCAUGCCGCGUGAGUGAUGAAGGCCCUAGGGUUGUAAAGCUCUUUGUGCGGGAAGAUAAUGACGGUACCGCAAGAAUAAGCCCCGGCUAACUUCGUGCCAGCCGCCGCAGUAAC